This 727-nucleotide ribosomal RNA is filed under the name uncultured Actinomycetales bacterium. RNAcentral describes it as "bacterial SSU rRNA". It matches the Rfam family "Bacterial small subunit ribosomal RNA", at positions 22 to 762 of the family's 1533-position model. The record is from RNAcentral. Lineage: Bacteria; Bacillati; Actinomycetota; Actinomycetes; Actinomycetales.
GCUCAGGACGAACGCUGGCGGCGUGCUUAACACAUGCAAGUCGAACGGAAAGGCCCUGCUUGCAGGGUACUCGAGUGGCGAACGGGUGAGUAACACGUGGGUGAUCUGCCCUGCACUUCGGGAUAAGCCUGGGAAACUGGGUCUAAUACCGGAUAGGAACCAUCUUUAGUGUGGUGGUUGGAAAGUUUUUUCGGUGUAGGAUGAGCUCGCGGCCUAUCAGCUUGUUGGUGGGGUAAUGGCCUACCAAGGCGGCGACGGGUAGCCGGCCUGAGAGGGUGUACGGCCACAUUGGGACUGAGAUACGGCCCAGACUCCUACGGGAGGCAGCAGUGGGGAAUAUUGCACAAUGGGCGCAAGCCUGAUGCAGCGACGCCGCGUGGGGGAUGAAGGCCUUCGGGUUGUAAACUCCUUUCGCUAGGGACGAAGCUUUCUGUGACGGUACCUAGAUAAGAAGCACCGGCUAACUACGUGCCAGCAGCCGCGGUAAUACGUAGGGUGCGAGCGUUGUCCGGAAUUACUGGGCGUAAAGGGCUCGUAGGUGGUUUGUCGCGUCGUCUGUGAAAUUCUGGGGCUUAACUCCGGGCGUGCAGGCGAUACGGGCAUAACUUGAGUGCUGUAGGGGUAACUGGAAUUCCUGGUGUAGCGGUGAAAUGCGCAGAUAUCAGGAGGAACACCGAUGGCGAAGGCAGGUUACUGGGCAGUUACUGACGCUGAGGAGCGAAAGCAU